UGAUACCCAGCCCCCCCCCCCUCUGCGUAAAAUAAAUAAAUAAAUAAAGGCACGCAGAGCCACAGAGCGUGUCGUGGUGCGUCGCUUUUGGACUCGAGUCACAUUAUUAAAAUGAUCGCUCCCAGAGUCUACAGUUGAGUCGAUACUAGAACACCGCAACCCAGAAGCCCGUAACCGUGCCACGGCAAAGAUUAGUAUAGUCUAUAGGCGACUGUCCUCUCUGGGCCUAUUUGUCUAGGCUGAAUAAACGUUCAAAUGAGAAGGACCGAUUCACAUAUAUAAAUGAAUUKUCAACUAGACUGGGCUAUAUGCAGCAGAGAGUGAAUAAGGCGCGGAUUGCUAGAAAUAGGCUGAAUGCCGGCGUUUACCGGGGUUGUCGAUAUCUCAACGGCCGGUUGCGCGCUGCCUUAUAUCCUGUUUCUUGACUGCUGACGUGACACCUGGAGACUGUCGUUCUUUCCGUGAUUGACCAGAGAAAGGCUCGAGGGCUGUGUAGUCAGGACGGACUGGGCUGGCCCAGUGGAAAAGGUUUUCCUGUUGUCUUGGCAGAAGGCGGACCGGUGUUGAACGUUCCUGGGAGUGUGUGUAUCCCGCGAAAGGAAGGUGGAAGGAAAAGCUCCGCCGAAAGAAAGCAUUCAGCUGGCUAAACAGCGAACCGUCCAGGCAAAAACACUCCAACUGGAUUUCCUGUCUGAACAGAGACGGAGACACUCAUCACCGCCGAGAGAGCUGGACCAAAACGAAAUUAUUUUCUGACCUAAUGAAUAACUAGUCUUUUCUCCUGCUAAAGUCCUAACUUUGUUAAGAGUUCCAGUCCUUUACUGGCUUUGCUGCUAACCUUCUACCCAGCUAACCAUGGCCCACGUCGGGAACGGACCUGGGAAUAACGCCGAUGAUGAGGAUUGUUUUGAAGAUGGCUAGACCGGAUACCGUG
Molecule: non-coding RNA, 934 nt
Organism: Salvelinus sp. IW2-2015
Lineage: Eukaryota; Metazoa; Chordata; Actinopteri; Salmoniformes; Salmonidae
Source: RefSeq, a predicted model, not a curated record